GCUGUAAGCUUUAGCGUUUUCUUCAAUAAGCAGGGUCGGGCCUGGUUAGUACUUGGAUGGGAGACCGCCUGGGAAUACCAGGUGCUGUAAGCU
This 93-nucleotide ribosomal RNA is filed under the name Sinocyclocheilus rhinocerous. The record is from RNAcentral. Lineage: Eukaryota; Metazoa; Chordata; Actinopteri; Cypriniformes; Cyprinidae.